CGGUAGUCCAGUGGUUAGCACGUCGGCUUCACAGUGCAGAGGUACCGGGUUGGAUUCCAGCUCCGGCCUCCCUGUGUGGAGUUUGCAUGUUCUCCCCGGGCCUGCGUGGGUUUUCCCCGGGUGCUCCGGUUUCCUCCCACAUUCCAAAAA
Molecule: long non-coding RNA, 150 nt
Organism: Hippocampus zosterae (dwarf seahorse)
Lineage: Eukaryota; Metazoa; Chordata; Actinopteri; Syngnathiformes; Syngnathidae
Exons: 2
Source: RefSeq, a predicted model, not a curated record